UGCCUUCGGGAACCGUGAGACAGGUGCUGCAUGGCUGUCGUCAGCUCGUGUUGUGAAAUGUUGGGUUAAGUCCCGCAACGAGCGCAACCCUUAUCCUUUGUUGCCAGCGGUCCGGCCGGGAACUCAAAGGAGACUGCCAGUGAUAAACUGGAGGAAGGUGGGGAUGACGUCAAGUCAUCAUGGCCCUUACGACCAGGGCUACACACGUGCUACAAUGGCGCAUACAAAGAGAAGCGACCUCGCGAGAGCAAGCGGACCUCAUAAAGUGCGUCGUAGUCCGGAUUGGAGUCUGCAACUCGACUCCAUGAAGUCGGAAUCGCUAGUAAUCGUGGAUCAGAAUGCCACGGUGAAUACGUUCCCGGGCCUUGUACACACCGCCCGUCACACCAUGGGAGUGGGUUGCAAAAGAAGUAGGUAGCUUAACCUUCGGGAGGGCGCUUACCACUUUGUGAUUCAUGACUGGGGUGAAGUCGUAACAAGGUAACCGUAGGGGAACCUGCGGUUGGAUCACCUCCUU
This 517-nucleotide ribosomal RNA is filed under the name Escherichia coli. Its description in RNAcentral is "bacterial SSU rRNA". It matches the Rfam family "Bacterial small subunit ribosomal RNA", at positions 1014 to 1532 of the family's 1533-position model. Lineage: Bacteria; Pseudomonadati; Pseudomonadota; Gammaproteobacteria; Enterobacterales; Enterobacteriaceae. RNAcentral also lists the same sequence under 1 other name. The record is from RNAcentral.